RNAcentral lists this ribosomal RNA (490 nucleotides) under uncultured bacterium. RNAcentral's name for it is "partial 16S ribosomal RNA". It matches the Rfam family "Bacterial small subunit ribosomal RNA", at positions 30 to 507 of the family's 1533-position model. The record is from RNAcentral.
AUUGAACGCUGGCGGCAGGCCUAACACAUGCAAGUCGAACGGUAACAGGAAGCAGCUUGCUGCUUCGCUGACGAGUGGCGGGCGGGUGAGUAAUGUCUGGGAAGCUGCCUGAUGGAGGGGGAUAACUACUGGAAACGGUAGCUAAUACCGCAUAAUGUCGCAAGACCAAAGAGGGGGACCUUCGGGCCUCUUGCCAUCGGAUGUGCCCAGAUGGGAUUAGCUUGUUGGUGGGGUAACGGCUCACCAAGGCGACGAUCCCUAGCUGGUCUGAGAGGAUGACCAGCCACACUGGGACUGAGACACGGUCCAGACUCCUACGGGAGGCAGCAGUGGGGAAUAUUGCACAAUGGGCGCAAGCCUGAUGCAGCCAUGCCGCGUGUAUGAAGAAGGCCUUCGGGUUGUAAAGUACUUUCAGCGGGGAGGAAGGGAGUAAAGUUAAUACCUUUGCUCAUUGACGUUACCCGCAGAAGAAGCACCGGCUAACUCCGUG